AGCAGCCGCGGUAAUUCCAGCUCCAAUAGCGUAUAUUAAAGUUGUUGCAGUUAAAAAGCUCGUAGUUGAAUUUCGGGGUCAGUAGGUUGGUCAUGCCUUCGGUAUGUACUGGUCUCACUGAUUCCUCCCUCUUGAAGAACUGUAAUGUCAUUAAUUUGGUGUUGCGGGGAAACAGGACUGUUACUUUGAAAAAAUUAGAGUGUUUAAAGCAAGCUCACGCUUGAAUACAUUAGCAUGGAAUAAUGAAAUAGGACGUUCGAUCCUAUUUUGUUGGUUUCUAGGAUUGACGUAAUGAUUAAUAGGGAUAGUUGGGGGCAUUAGUAUUCAAUUGUCAGAGGUGAAAUUCUUGGAUUUAUUGAAGACUAACUACUGCGAAAGCAUUUGCCAAGGAUGUUUUCAUUAAUCAAGAACGAAAGUUAGGGGAUCGAAGACGAUCAGAUACCGUCGUAGUCUUAACCCAUAAACUAUGCCGACUAGGGAUCGGAUGAUGUUAAUUUUUAAUGACUCAUUCGGCGUCCG
This 519-nucleotide ribosomal RNA is filed under the name uncultured Glomus. RNAcentral describes it as "SSU rRNA". It matches the Rfam family "Eukaryotic small subunit ribosomal RNA", at positions 569 to 1089 of the family's 1831-position model. The record is from RNAcentral. Lineage: Eukaryota; Fungi; Glomeromycota; Glomeromycetes; Glomerales; Glomeraceae.